AGAUAGAGCCAUUUCCAUCUCCCAAUUUUCGAACGUUUUCUCCAGAGAUCUGGUGAAGUAAAGCUUCACAACACAAACACAAAGAGGAAGAGAAUGGAACAGAAUAGAAAAAAAUUCGCUUCAAGAUUUUCGAGAUGGUUGAGAAACUGAGGGUCUCUAGUAUGAAUACUGGUGCGGGCAGUGAAGAGCGAGCCAGCAAGAAAGCUCGCAAAACAAAGAAACAAGGUGAGUUUACCAGUCAUUGGCUUUCCCCUCAUUUUUCUGCCGUCCUGCUUCCUGUUUGGAACCUAAAAACAUUCAGCCACAACCAAAAUCACAAACUACACAUACACAUUGCUUGCAUAUAUGUUGCUGCAAUGGAUACUCAGAAUUUAUUUAUAUACAUAGAUAGAUAGAGCAUAAUAUUGGGGGAUGA
Long non-coding RNA from Cucurbita moschata (crookneck pumpkin), 415 nucleotides. RefSeq lists it as uncharacterized. The record is from RefSeq and is a predicted model, not a curated record. Lineage: Eukaryota; Viridiplantae; Streptophyta; Magnoliopsida; Cucurbitales; Cucurbitaceae. The transcript is spliced from 2 exons.